This 22-nucleotide microRNA is filed under the name Brugia malayi. Its description in RNAcentral is "bma-miR-5871". The record is from miRBase by way of RNAcentral. RNAcentral also lists the same sequence under 1 other name. Lineage: Eukaryota; Metazoa; Nematoda; Chromadorea; Rhabditida; Onchocercidae.
UAUAGGAGGUCUCAAAAUGAAU